RNAcentral lists this ribosomal RNA (469 nucleotides) under uncultured soil bacterium. RNAcentral's name for it is "bacterial SSU rRNA". It matches the Rfam family "Bacterial small subunit ribosomal RNA", at positions 26 to 505 of the family's 1533-position model. The record is from RNAcentral.
AGGACGAACGCUGGCGGCGUGCUUAACACAUGCAAGUCGAGCGGUAAGGCCUUUCGGGGUACACGAGCGGCGAACGGGUGAGUAACACGUGGGUGAUCUGCCCUGCACUCUGGGAUAAGCCUGGGAAACUGGGUCUAAUACCGGAUAUGACCUGCUCUCGCAGUGGGGGGUGGGUGGAAAGAUUUAUCGGUGCAGGAUGGGCCCGCGGCCUAUCAGCUUGUUGGUGGGUAAUGGCCUACCAAGGCGACGACGGGUAGCCGACCUGAGAGGGUGACCGGCCACACUGGGACUGAGACACGGCCCAGACUCCUACGGGAGCAGCAGUGGGAAUAUUGCACAAUGGGACGAAAGCCUGAUGCAGCGACGCCGCGUGGAGGAUGGAAGGUCCGUUCGGGUUUCGUAAACCUCUUUCAGCGAAGGACGAAGCGCAAGUGACGUACUGCGAAGAAGAAGCACCGGCUAACGUACG